GAGGCAUUUGGGUUGUUUAUGGAAAUGAGGGAGAAGGGGUUUGAGCCAGAUGAGAUGACGUUGGUGAGUGUUCUUGGGGCGUGUGGGGAUUUGGGGGAUUUGGGUUUGGGGAGAUGGGUGGAGGGGUUUGUUUUGGAGAAGAAGAUGGAGGUAAAUUCGUAUGUGGGGUCUGCUUUGAUUGACAUGUAUGGUAAGUGUGGGGAUUUGAUAUCUGCGAGGAGGGUCUUUUGAUUCAAUGCCAAACAAGGAUGUUGUCACUUGGAAUGCCAUUAUCACAGGGUUCUCACAGGAUGGAGCUUCCAAUGAAGUAAUUGUACUAUUCAAUGGAAUGAGAGAGACAGGUCCUAAUCCAGAUAAAGUCACAAUGAUUGAAGUAUAUAUGGUCUGCAUGUUCCACAAUAGGGGCCUUUGAUUUGGGGAAAUGGGUUGAGACACAUGCAUCAGAAAGAGGUUUACAGCACGAUGUCUAUGUUGCGAGUGCAUUAAUUGAUAUGUAUGCUAAAUGUGAGAGUUUUUGAAUCAAUGACAUUGCCAUUUGGAUUGAUUGGAUUGGUCCUAAAAGUCGAGCAUUAUUCUUGCAUGGUUGAUCUUUGUCGCGUGCAGGACUUCUGAACGAAGCCUGGGACUUAAUCAAGAAGAUGCUUGGAAAACCAUAUGAAAUUGUGUUGGGGUCAUUGCUUGGUGCCUGCCAGAGGUGUAGAAAUGCAGAUGUUGAUGAAAGGGUCAUUCAAUUGUUUCUAGAGACGGAGCUAUCAAAUUCAGGAAAAUAUGUUAUCUUAUCUAAGAUAUAUGCAAAUAUGAGAAGGUGGGAUGAUUCUGCAAAGACAAGGGUGUUGAUGAGGCAGUGUGGUAUCUCUAAAACCCCUUGCUGUAACUGGAUUGACAUUGGAGCUCGUGCUCAUGAAUUUCAUGCUGGUGACAACUUAAAUCAUCAUCCGGUGAACAUAUACCAAUUGCUGAAUGAGGAGAUGAAGAGAGAAGGUUACAUUCCAAAUAUUGGUUGCAUAUAGAGGUGGAAAAGUUGAAAACUUGGUUGCCUUUUCAGCCAUUGAACAGUGCAUCCGGAGGGAUUAUAUCUUCUGGUUGAUGACUCCAGCUAAAAUAUUAAAUGGUAAGUUGUGUUCUUAAUAGCUUGAGCAAGGCUGGUUUGGAAGAAGCUAUUAUUGAGAGUAAGAGUCAUUCAAACACAAAUUGUUUUCCAGAAAAUUAAGCAAUUUCAGCAAGAACUGGUAAGGUGCUUCGUGUGUGAAUAUAUCCUGUAAGCUAAAUUGAAGAAAUUCUUUUUGGACAAUCUUGCCUUUAUAUCAAUUGUGACCUCAAGAAAUAUUAGGUACCAAGAAAAGAAAACUACCAAGACAAAUCCAUAUUCUUUGAUGAAUUCAAUACAGGAAGAUAAUGCAAAUUUGUAUUUUUAACAAUAGUAUUUGUGUUGUAAUGUAUUCCCCUUUAUAUUAAAUAUUUUUGGAUA
This is a long non-coding RNA of Populus euphratica (Euphrates poplar), 1468 nucleotides long. RefSeq lists it as uncharacterized. The transcript has 2 exons. The record is from RefSeq and is a predicted model, not a curated record. Lineage: Eukaryota; Viridiplantae; Streptophyta; Magnoliopsida; Malpighiales; Salicaceae.